RNAcentral lists this ribosomal RNA (468 nucleotides) under uncultured bacterium. Its description in RNAcentral is "partial 16S ribosomal RNA". It matches the Rfam family "Bacterial small subunit ribosomal RNA", at positions 28 to 507 of the family's 1533-position model. The record is from RNAcentral.
GACGAACGCUGGCGGCGUGCUUAACACAUGCAAGUCGAACGGAAAGGCCCUGCUUUUGUGGGGUGCUCGAGUGGCGAACGGGUGAGUAACACGUGAGUAACCGGCCCUUGACUUUGGGAUAACUUCAGGAAACUGGGGCUAAUACCGGAUAGGAGCUCCUGCUGCAGGGUGGGGGUUGGAAAGUUUCGGCGGUUGGGGAUGGACUCGCGGCUUAUCAGCUUGUUGGUGGGGUAGUGGCUUACCAAGGCUUUGACGGGUAGCCGGCCUGAGAGGGUGACCGGCCACAUUGGGACUGAGAUACGGCCCAGACUCCUACGGGAGGCAGCAGUGGGGAAUCUUGCACAAUGGGCGGAAGCCUGAUGCAGCAACGCCGCGUGCGGGAUGACGGCCUUCGGGUUGUAAACCGCUUUCGCCUGUGACGAAGCGUGAGUGACGGUAAUGGGUAAAGAAGCACCGGCUAACUACGUG